UUUCUUCCUUGUCUUUCUGUCCUCUUCAUCUCUCUUAACAUGGUAUCAGAGCUAUGGAGAUCCUGAAGCAGUCAUCUUCAUCCCUCUCUACUCUCCUCUCGUAGGACACCACCGGCCACUUCUUCUUCUUCGGCGGCGAGCAUCGUCUAGAUCAUCGAGAUCUGGCACAUCCAUUCUCCUCAGAAGAGUACUUGUUUUCUUUGGAUUUUUCUUGUGGAGAACCGGCCGACCGCGGCAGUGCAAAAGCUCUGCCGUACGUCACCGACUCAGGAGGAGGCGCCCGCCCGUCUGUCCGCUGUCAGGCGCCGGCUCCGGAGAAGAGGACUGUCCUCUGCUUCUCCGCCGUGGGUUUAUUCUCUGCCGCUGUGACCCACAUCAAGCCUGCCCGCCGGAGCUCGAAGUGGACCUGAGAAGAAGGAGGAGGAGCCCGCCCGUCCGUCCGCUAUCAGGCGCCGGCUCCGGAGAAGAGGAUUGUCCUCUGCUUCUCCGUCGUGGGUUUAUUUUAUAAGGUCCAUCUUCAACCUCUUCUCCGCCUUCGGUUUCUCUUCAUCUCUCCGGCACAAAAGCAGAGGAGUCCUUUCCUAAGGUCUGCUGAAAGAAGUGUGACAAGGGAUAAGGUACACUACGCUUUGCCCCCACCCAACUUAGUUGAAAGUUGAUAGGCCUUGGUCAGUCUCUGUCAUUAUUAAAAC
RNAcentral lists this long non-coding RNA (692 nucleotides) under Phoenix dactylifera (date palm). RNAcentral's name for it is "long non-coding RNA (PDAC_LNC017173)". The record is from RNAcentral. Lineage: Eukaryota; Viridiplantae; Streptophyta; Magnoliopsida; Arecales; Arecaceae.